This 1550-nucleotide ribosomal RNA is filed under the name Klebsiella sp. Lac2. RNAcentral describes it as "bacterial SSU rRNA". It matches the Rfam family "Bacterial small subunit ribosomal RNA". Lineage: Bacteria; Pseudomonadati; Pseudomonadota; Gammaproteobacteria; Enterobacterales; Enterobacteriaceae. The record is from RNAcentral.
AAAUUGAAGAGUUUGAUCAUGGCUCAGAUUGAACGCUGGCGGCAGGCCUAACACAUGCAAGUCGAGCGGUAGCACAGAGAGCUUGCUCUCGGGUGACGAGCGGCGGACGGGUGAGUAAUGUCUGGGAAACUGCCUGAUGGAGGGGGAUAACUACUGGAAACGGUAGCUAAUACCGCAUAACGUCGCAAGACCAAAGUGGGGGACCUUCGGGCCUCAUGCCAUCAGAUGUGCCCAGAUGGGAUUAGCUAGUAGGUGGGGUAACGGCUCACCUAGGCGACGAUCCCUAGCUGGUCUGAGAGGAUGACCAGCCACACUGGAACUGAGACACGGUCCAGACUCCUACGGGAGGCAGCAGUGGGGAAUAUUGCACAAUGGGCGCAAGCCUGAUGCAGCCAUGCCGCGUGUAUGAAGAAGGCCUUCGGGUUGUAAAGUACUUUCAGCGAGGAGGAAGGCGGUGAGGUUAAUAACCUCAUCGAUUGACGUUACUCGCAGAAGAAGCACCGGCUAACUCCGUGCCAGCAGCCGCGGUAAUACGGAGGGUGCAAGCGUUAAUCGGAAUUACUGGGCGUAAAGCGCACGCAGGCGGUCUGUUAAGUCAGAUGUGAAAUCCCCGGGCUCAACCUGGGAACUGCAUUUGAAACUGGCAGGCUUGAGUCUUGUAGAGGGGGGUAGAAUUCCAGGUGUAGCGGUGAAAUGCGUAGAGAUCUGGAGGAAUACCGGUGGCGAAGGCGGCCCCCUGGACAAAGACUGACGCUCAGGUGCGAAAGCGUGGGGAGCAAACAGGAUUAGAUACCCUGGUAGUCCACGCUGUAAACGAUGUCGACUUGGAGGUUGUUCCCUUGAGGAGUGGCUUCCGGAGCUAACGCGUUAAGUCGACCGCCUGGGGAGUACGGCCGCAAGGUUAAAACUCAAAUGAAUUGACGGGGGCCCGCACAAGCGGUGGAGCAUGUGGUUUAAUUCGAUGCAACGCGAAGAACCUUACCUACUCUUGACAUCCAGAGAACUUAGCAGAGAUGCUUUGGUGCCUUCGGGAACUCUGAGACAGGUGCUGCAUGGCUGUCGUCAGCUCGUGUUGUGAAAUGUUGGGUUAAGUCCCGCAACGAGCGCAACCCUUAUCCUUUGUUGCCAGCGAUUUGGUCGGGAACUCAAAGGAGACUGCCAGUGAUAAACUGGAGGAAGGUGGGGAUGACGUCAAGUCAUCAUGGCCCUUACGAGUAGGGCUACACACGUGCUACAAUGGCAUAUACAAAGAGAAGCGACCUCGCGAGAGCAAGCGGACCUCAUAAAGUAUGUCGUAGUCCGGAUUGGAGUCUGCAACUCGACUCCAUGAAGUCGGAAUCGCUAGUAAUCGUAGAUCAGAAUGCUACGGUGAAUACGUUCCCGGGCCUUGUACACACCGCCCGUCACACCAUGGGAGUGGGUUGCAAAAGAAGUAGGUAGCUUAACCUUCGGGAGGGCGCUUACCACUUUGUGAUUCAUGACUGGGGUGAAGUCGUAACAAGGUAACCGUAGGGGAACCUGCGGUUGGAUCACCUCCUUACCUGAAAGAA